Betta splendens (Siamese fighting fish) is the source of this 685-nucleotide long non-coding RNA. RefSeq lists it as uncharacterized. The record is from RefSeq and is a predicted model, not a curated record. Lineage: Eukaryota; Metazoa; Chordata; Actinopteri; Anabantiformes; Osphronemidae. The transcript is spliced from 5 exons.
GGGUAGCGCAUUACCGCCACCUUCUGAGUUGGAGUACGCAUUAUUAUGGCAUUUUCUGUGCAUUUUUAGCUCAAACGCCUGGGAAACAUACCUAAAUUCAAAUGAAAGCUGUUCUUCAACCAUUUGGAGUAUAUCUAAAAGCUUGGGCUCUUUGGAAAGGUACCACUCUGUAGUUUUCACCACAGCGCUCAGAUUUACAGUACUAAAUGGGUACCAACAAUUUUGUCCACGUCUGUAUCUUGGAAAUUAGAGGAGAUUUGAUUAAAGUCCAACGUGCUUUGGAAACCAGAGGAUACAAGAGGAGCAAGUCCGACAGUGCAACUGCGCAAACUAGAAGGAUGGAACAGCUUCAUGGAUCCGUUUGAGGAUUUAUGUUUUCUCUGCCUUUGGAAAGGAUAGAAAAACUAUUCUUAUCAGAGUCAAUAUACUGUCAGCAGUUGACGAGCUUCAAGGAUCAAAGAACUCAAUGACAUAUUCUGGGGUGAGGUGUGUCAACAUUUGGGAAUUGCCAGUAUAAAACUCCACAAAACAAGGCUUAAACGAGCCUAUUUUCGUCACAGAAAGAAUAAGAUUGCGAGUGCUUCUAGAGUUGCAGAACAAGAAGCAGGCAGCACCAGUAACGUCCAAUCUGAUGGAGGAAGCGAAGCUGAAGCUGAAGCUGAUGCUGGCAGCACCAGUAACGUCC